Molecule: long non-coding RNA, 956 nt
Organism: Gallus gallus (chicken)
Lineage: Eukaryota; Metazoa; Chordata; Aves; Galliformes; Phasianidae
Source: Ensembl
ACUAUUAUAUCAGAUUGCUCGUCAGGAGAGACCUGUGCCCUCCUCCACACCCAGCCAAGCCCAGAUCAUUGAGAAAUUUUUCAUGCAAGCAGAGAACACCUGCAGAGCUGCACAAUCCCUCUUGGGAAGGGGAUUUGCCUGGAUUGGAUCUGAGAGUGAAGCCAGACAAGGACUUUGAUGAAAAAUGGCUUUUACCUGGUGAGAUGGUGUUGCCUUUAUGGAAAUAAUUCUUGGUGGACCUCUUUGGAUUUAUUUGGCCACUUCUCAAGGCAUAGAGCCAGCAUUGUGAUCUCCACCUUGGGUCUAGCAUCUAGAAGACUGUGAACAUCUUCCAAAGUAUUUGUGCAGCACACAGGACAGAAGAGCUCUGAUCCACACUUAGCAUUCUCUGGAUAAUGCGUACAAUUACUGUUAAGAAUAUAAAGAGCAAUAAUAACGACAAUGAGAAGAGCAAUGAUGAACUUACAAGCUUGUGGAUUGUUAGCUUUCUGGGCACAAGCUUAUCAUACAUGAAAAUAGGCUCAUUCUAACAGCUGCAGUGCCCAACUCAGUACGAAAAAGAAAUUCUAUGCUGGGAGAAAAAAAACAUAAGAUCUAGUGAUCCUCAUUUUUCAGAGCUGUUACUCCUGGUAUGUGCUUGGAUAUCCCACCAAUUAUUUAUUGUCUCUGAGUAGUACCAUUGAAAAUACGUAAUGUAUUUUUCAUCACGUACCCUUUUAAUGGUAAUUAAAUAUCACAACCCUACCUUGCAACUAAUUGCAAUGGCUUUGUUAUUUUUGGUUUUGCCUGACUAUGAUUUCAAACUAAUGAUCAUUAGUAACAAUAAUACUCCUGUACCCUUUUAUCAUGCCUUACAUCUGUGGGACUCCGUGUUAAGAAUUACUAUGUGCAUUACACCAGUGCUUGCACUGAGUCACAGAGGUUAAUUAACUUAUUAAAGUUAAGGCAUGGCAGUG